Molecule: transfer RNA, 68 nt
Filed under: Samia cynthia cynthia
Lineage: Eukaryota; Metazoa; Arthropoda; Insecta; Lepidoptera; Saturniidae
Description: tRNA-Arg
Source: RNAcentral
AAAUAAGAAGCAAUAAAUGCAUUUAAUUUCGACUUAAAAAAUAGAGUAAUUAAUUUACUCCUUAUUUA